This is a long non-coding RNA of Amphibalanus amphitrite, 475 nucleotides long. RefSeq lists it as uncharacterized. The record is from RefSeq and is a predicted model, not a curated record. NCBI's taxonomy places the organism in Eukaryota, Metazoa, Arthropoda, Thecostraca, Balanomorpha, Balanidae. The transcript is spliced from 3 exons.
AGUAAUGUAGUCAAUUCUGGCGCACCGGCGCAGUGUUUUCCGACCGUUGCGUGUUAUUACUUUGGUUGCUAUGCAAAGUUUUAAUAUGUUUGUUUGAUAAUAUAAACACAUUUUCAUGUGUUUGAAGGUCGCAAAAGCUUAACAUAAGUGGCAACCACACUUUGUAUUACGUUUCGUCUCAUAUAUCAUGAAGAACAACCAAGUAUUUCAAGGUGGGAACAUGCUGAGGAACCUCAACCAAGGAAAGCUGAGGCGAGGGCGAGUAGGUCCCUGAGGAGGACCACUGCAAAGGAGGUCAAGGAGAUUAUGGGGGCAACCUGCGAGCAACCUCUAGACCAGCCAGCAGGGACCUCUGACAAUGCCGCUGCCGGUGUCGACGCUGGCAGCCAUGGCCGGCGCCGAGCUGACGAGUUCCAACCUGGAAGCUCAGCGCGAGGGGCUGGCAUUUGUUGCCGGCUUCGUGGCAUACAAGUGU